Phrynosoma platyrhinos (Desert horned lizard) is the source of this 71-nucleotide non-coding RNA. Lineage: Eukaryota; Metazoa; Chordata; Lepidosauria; Squamata; Phrynosomatidae. The record is from the annotation of a GenBank genome assembly.
GCUAGUGUGGUGUAGUGGUUUGAACAUUUGACUAUGACUUUAGAGACUGAGGUUUGAAUCCCCGCUCAGCC